AACGUAGGACGCAAGCGUUAUCCGGAGUUACUGGGCGUAAAGCGCGUGUAGGCGGCCUUGCAAGUCGGAUGUGAAAGCCCACGGCUCAACCGUGGAAGUGCAUCCGAAACUGCAUAGCUUGAGUCUCGGAGAGGAAGGUGGAAUGCUUGGUGUAGAGGUGAAAUUCGUAGAUAUCAAGCAGAACACCUGCGGCGAAGGCGGCCUUCUGGACGAUGACUGACGCUGAGACGCGAAAGCGUGGGGAGCAAACAGG
RNAcentral lists this ribosomal RNA (253 nucleotides) under uncultured bacterium. Its description in RNAcentral is "partial 16S ribosomal RNA". It matches the Rfam family "Bacterial small subunit ribosomal RNA", at positions 524 to 776 of the family's 1533-position model. The record is from RNAcentral.